RNAcentral lists this long non-coding RNA (877 nucleotides) under Salmo salar (Atlantic salmon). RNAcentral's name for it is "lncRNA (ENSSSAG00000086801.1)". The record is from RNAcentral. Lineage: Eukaryota; Metazoa; Chordata; Actinopteri; Salmoniformes; Salmonidae.
GUGUUAUGUGUGUCUGUGUGUAGUUUUAGUUUCCCAUGGAUUGUUUAAACAUUUUAAUCUAAGAGAGUUUCUUCCCUGGUUCAAAGACCAUAGUGUGCACAGUUGGGGGGCAUCAAAGCUCCAAGUCGACAGAAUUAGGAAAGAAAAGCUGCAUCUUCAAUGCGCUGGCUCAGAAAUAUCACAAGGGCACACUACCAGACACCCAAUAUUCCUCUCCUGAACCUCUCGCUUGAUGAUUUAGCAUUUUCUUACCUGAGUGAGUACCAUUUCAGCGGAGAGAAAAUGGAGACAAUUCUUUCCUCCUUCACUCAGUAUGGGCUGGCGGACAUGUUGGAUUUGGGAUCAGAGCUGAGCUGAGUCGGCCUCACAGUUUGGUGUCCUGGGUCUUUAGUGAGAGUACAGCAGCGCUGGGCCCAGUGAAGUCACCAUGCGGUAAAUUGGUUAAUAGACCAAUAACAAAGAGAGCUCCAAACCUCUGCCAAUAACAGCUAGUUUUCUGUGUUACCCUCCCCACUCAGACCACUCCCAGACAGUCCUAGCAAAAUUCUUGCUUGAGAAAUUGUUUUUUUUGCUAAAAAGCUGUUUUGGUCCAUUUGAAUGGAAAUCUAUUACAAUAAGGUACUUAAUUGUUACCCAGAAAUGAUUUGAUAUUGAUUUAAAAAUGGCUGCAUUGGGCCUUCAAUAUAAUUGUUUUGCCUUGGAAUCUACAUUUACAAUAAUGUACUGUUAUCCAUUCAGACCUUGCAUAUUGACUUGGAUACUGAAUAUAAUGUCUUAAUGUUUACACCCUGACUGUUCAUCAGAACGUAUUGAGGUCAAAACAGAUCUACAGGAUUUUUUGGGGAACAAAUGUAAUUUAUCACUGAUGUAAUUCUAG